Molecule: ribosomal RNA, 2620 nt
Filed under: Triticum aestivum (bread wheat)
Lineage: Eukaryota; Viridiplantae; Streptophyta; Magnoliopsida; Poales; Poaceae
Description: partial small subunit ribosomal RNA
Source: RNAcentral
UACGAAGGUUAACCAGCGACGAAAAAACCUAAACCUAUCGCCCGCUCCCUCGCGCCCCUGUUGCUCCCUCCUCGAUCCCGAUCUGGAACGAGGGGACGAGGAGCUCCUGCCUCCCCGACGGCCGGCCUCCUCCUCGCCCCGCCGCUGCAUCCGGCGCCGCCACGGGCUCUGGAGCCAGGGAAGCCAUGGCCUGAGCUCGGCCUCGAGGUCCCCCCGCCGUAUCCUGCAGCUUCUGCCCCGCCGCCUCAACGCCCGAGCUCGCCAUCGCACCAACCUCGGCGCCGCGCCGCCUCCGGCUCUGGUCGCCUCCACCUCCGCUCCAGGCAACCCUCGGUCGCCGGCUCGCUGGAGCACGACGGCAGACGAUGGAUGCCCUGGUUGUGUGCGACGGAUGCAGUUCUUACGCGCAAGCUAGGGUUGGAGCCGCCAGCUCUUCAUCCUGCCCGCCGGCGGCGAGUCUUCCCGUCCCGCACUGCCGCCUCCCCGUUAUCACAGCAUGGUCAAAACAAUGGUGCCUUCACCCUUGCUCGUGCCUCAACCCACAUGGUCAUCUUUGAGACGUGGUAUUCAGUCACAUGACAGAGUUCUCUUUAUCCUUGAGGUCAGGUGCGGCAACUAGCGACAUGUGCUGGAACUUCUGGCAUCGCUGGAGGCGGCAUCACCUGCAUCGACCUCUCCCUGGUCGCCUUCGAGAGUGUGUGCGGCCGACCAUCAAGCUUGUUAUGACGCACUUUGAAUUUCCGAGCAAGUCGCAGCCUUUUCAGAUUCAUCAACACAGGUUACAUCAGUAGUCAAUAUGGUUCGGAUGCAUAAUAGUACGUACUUCAUUUCCUUUUUGUUGUGUACGGUGACCUACAACAUGGAUCAUAUGUACCGGUUAUCUUUCAGGUUCAGUUUGCUGUGGCGAAUUCUUCUUGAAUUUGUUGCGGCAAACUUGUGGUCAUGUAUGGUUUUUAGUUUUGUAAGCAUGCAUAGUUUAGAAGUUAGAAAGCUCGUUCAUGUAUUGUUCUAAACUGAAAGUUUAAGUGGCUUUUCCACCCAUGGUAUUGUGGUGGUCAUAAUAGCACACCUCACAAUUAUUAUGGCCAGAUCUACAAGCACUAAGCGUUGUGUUUUUUAGCCCCCUCUAUUUCUCUUGGGCAUCAAUCUAUGCGCAACAAGCUCUUCAGUGCUUGAUGACAAAUAAAGGUUGCAUCUUAGAUAUUUGCUUGAUUUGAAUGAGCCAUUUUGCUGUCAGCUAAACUGUUAAAAGUCAGAUGUAAGAUUAUGUUUCUUGGCACAUGAGUUAUUUUUCAGUCAACGUGUGGCGAGUCCACUUCGAACUGAUAUAUGCACUUUUUAUUUGAAACUGAACCACCAUGGUUUAAUUUUAUUUUCAUUUGGACAAGUUACCCCAAGUAUCAUCAGUUCAUGAUGACUGGUUUGGUGUGAUGAAUUGAUCCUGGUGCUGAUUUAAGAGUUUUUUAUGACGCUGCCUUGUAAGGGAGUAAGGUCUGGUAUCUAUAUGGCUGUUAUUUUAGCUCUUACAGAUUGCCAUAUAUGACAUGCUAAUUGUUUUUAGCUCUUGAUAUAGUUAAACUUUUUUUUUGAAACGGAGGCAAAAGAUUUGCCUCAUCCAUUAAAUGGGAGGAGAAUAGAGUUAAACUUUGGAUGCACCAGUGCCUGAUGCAUAUGUUUGUUUACUUGGUUUAAACUCUGAAUGAUAUGUUGUUAUCCUGAUUGCAUGCCUGAUGAGUUGGUUCUGCUGGUAUUUUGAGGAGGCAAGCUGUGGUUUUACUCCUGGCCCUGAGAAGGGUGAACUAGGCCAUAGCGAGGGCGCCUUCAGGAACAUCGAGUCAGGGUGCCUCACUUUCUAUUUCAGUCUGCGAGGGUGAUACGUAUGAAGGAAAAGAGCCAGAGCGGCGCUUGGAUAAAAGUCAGUGAUGGAAUUUGUUUGGCAUAUGCGGAAAUCUUGGUAAAGGUUUUCAACAUCACGAAUUUCAUACUUAUGGAGUGGAGCUACCAAAAUAUCUAUUGAGGAAAUAUGUCGAAGCACAGAAUAUAUUCCAUAUGCAGUAGACUAACAGAACGACACAAGACAUAAAAAGAGGAGUAUAAGUGGAAACCUUUCUUUCUCUUUAAAUUCUUGAGGAUGGUAACAUUAUGAUGAAGGUGGAACCAUAGAGAGAUGUGUAUUUUUAAUUGAGAUAUUUUCAGGAGUACCUUUGCAAAGCUGAUAUAUCUUUCUUUUACAAGAUAUGGUUGCACUUGCUUCAUCUACAUAGGCCGUCUGGAAUGCCAUGAGGCCGGGAUUUGUGUAGGAAAUCUUCAAAGCUAUUAUAUUGGUCUCAAGAAACUUGCAAUACAUCAAUGCAUUUUUAUUUUUAUUUUUUGCUGACACCACAGCUACCACCUCUUCACUAAAUGACAGAGGUUCCCAGCAGCUGCACAUGGAAAGAUUGAAUGUUAUAUUCUGUCUACUAAUCAAUAAGGAGGGAGAUCAAAAUUACUGCUCUCAAAUAUUCGCCUGAUCAUUUGUAUGUUUCUACAAUUUUCCUGCUUGUUGGAACAUGUUUGAUGUACUUACACAUUAACAAAAAUGAUCUGUAACAUUCAUGAAAAUAUUUGGGUUUGGUCCUCU